This 557-nucleotide ribosomal RNA is filed under the name uncultured bacterium. Its description in RNAcentral is "bacterial SSU rRNA". It matches the Rfam family "Bacterial small subunit ribosomal RNA", at positions 102 to 694 of the family's 1533-position model. The record is from RNAcentral.
ACGGGUGAGUAACGCGUGGGAACGUGCCCCUUGGUACGGAAUAGCCCCGGGAAACUGGGAGUAAUACCGUAUGAGCUCUACGGAGGAAAGAUUUAUCGCCAAGGGAUCGGCCCGCGUUGGAUUAGGUAGUUGGUGGGGUGAUGGCCUACCAAGCCGACGAUCCAUAGCUGGUUUGAGAGGAUGAUCAGCCACACUGGGACUGAGACACGGCCCAGACUCCUACGGGAGGCAGCAGUGGAGAAUCUUAGACAAUGGGCGCAAGCCUGAUCUAGCCAUGCCGCGUGAGCGAUGAAGGCCUUAGGGUUGUAAAGCUCUUUCAGCGAGGAAGAUAAUGACUGUACUCGCAGAAGAAGCCCCGGCUAACUCCGUGCCAGCAGCCGCGGUAAUACGGAGGGGGCUAGCGUUGUUCGGAAUUACUGGGCGUAAAGCGCACGUAGGCGGACUGGAAAGUCAGGGGUGAAAUCCCGGGGCUCAACCCCGGAACUGCCUUUGAAACUCCCAGUCUUGAGGUCGAGAGAGGUGAGUGGAAUUCCGAGUGUAGAGGUGAAAUUCGUAGA